CGGCGUUGUCCGCGCGCGGCCACCUGACCCCGGGCGCAGUUGUUAUUAGGCUCGGCGAGGCGGGCGGCGCGCGGCACCAGGGUUGGGCUCUGGCCGGGAGUCGACAGAGGGAGCGAGGGCAGGGAGCGCGCCCGUGCGUGCGCGCGCUCUCGCGACCGGACUAUCCGCCGCGGACACUCUUUCGCCCGCCUUACACUUCGAGCCUGGGCCCCGCUCAGCACCCUGGGCCCUUCCUAAGCGCCUCCCGCGCCGGCCCUCAGGGAUGCACAGAAAAAAAGAGGAAAGCAAAGGAAUAAACUACAAGCAAUUACGCACUUAAAAAAGAAUUUUACAACUGAGAUAUCAAAGGUGGAGAUGCUGGGGAAUUCUUUGACUUUAAAAAACUGGAGUACAAGAUGAGGCCCUGUUUGACAACCAGAUUUCAUGUGACAAUAAGAACAUUCCAGCCAGAUAUAUGCACCUCAAGAUUUAUCUGAGCAAAAUGCUUAAAGGAAAUGGCAGAAAUGACAUGAGGUGACUUCCAAGGCUGGGUCAUGAAGACAGAAUUGUGACUUCCCCCUUCCUCUUGGAUGACUCACUCUGGGGGAAGCCUGGCAUCACAUCAGGAGGACACACAAGCUGGCCUAUGAUAAAGUCCACAUGGUGAGACCCUGAGGCCUCCUGCUCAAGCCAACAUUAGCUUGUCAGCUAUGGGAACACACCAUCUUGGAGAUGGAGCCUCAGUUCCAUCACCUACUAGAUGACAGCAGCCCAGCCGACCUCUUGUCUGCAAGCUCAUGAGAGCUGAGCAGAACCGCUAGCUCAGCAGCUCCUGAAUUCUCAACUCAGAAAUGCUGUGAGGUCAUGGAUGUUUACUUUCUUUCAAGCUACCAUGUCUUGUGCUGCUUUGCUAUGCAUGAGUAGAUAAUUAGUAUAAUCAUUAUUCUGGAACUUUGAAGUGGCCGCUCCUCAGCCAACACUCGUGCAGGCUUCUCCUGCCUUCACGUGGACUGCUUUGCAGAGCCCAAGGGAGGCUAAUUCUUUCUACUCCAAGAAACUCUGGAUGAGAAGAGUCUCUGCCCUGGUCCUUUUUUGGUAUCACCACUUCCAGGGAGCUCUCCUGAUACCUCUUGGCCAGGAUGGGGCCCUUCCUCCAAAUGCCUGCAAAAGUGCUCUGUGCCACCCUCUCCCACACUUCUCACCACCUUGCCUCUUGGUUCUGGAGCCAGUAACAUUCUCACCCAUGCUUUGGCUCACAGCAAGCUCAAACCCACAUUUUCAGUCUACUCUAGAUGACUUCCAAGUCUUUAUGGCAAAGAGAUUGAAAUCCUGUCCUUUAAUCUUAUUUUAAGAUUAUUCAGCAAUAUUCAUAUUGUAUUUUCUUACCCUUAAUUUAUUUCUGCCCUUAUUUCCUCAUCUGUUUUGUGUGUUUGUUAUGCAAAUUAUCACACAUCCUUUGUGAGAUGAAGCAGCAGUAAGCAAGUCACUGAAGGCCUGGGGGAAGAUACAAACAUCAUCUGCUGACAGUAGGCCAUAUACUCCAGAUAGCCUUGAUCUCCCCUGCUCCUGCUCCUCACUUCUCUAAUGGUGACACCACAUUCUCCUGUGGCUGGAGGUGCAUUGAAUAACUUUCUCAGCUUCUCAGCUGCACAUCAGAUUUGCAGUUACUGUUUGGUUUUCCAUGGCUGUUUUCCAAACUCUAGGGUGAGACAGACCAACAAGCUGUUCUGGAAGGAGACAGCGGAGUGAGCAAGGGGCUUGCUGUCCCCUGGGGUGGUGCUACAGGACCAGCCCAAAGUGUCCACUGCACUGAAGAAGCAGCCUCUCAACAGCCACCAGAGCAGGUGAGCAGUGCAGUGGCUUGAACAUUUCAGAUGGGAUCCCGCUAGCAGACACAGGUGGGGUAAGCAGAGCCUAAAAGCAGCAAGUGAGUAGCUUCCAGCCUAAUCCUGGACAGAGUGGGGCCUAGAUUCCUCCAUGGACCUGAACAAAACCUCUGCAAUGUUGUUUCCCAGCAGCCAUCAUGGUGUGAAACCAAUGUCAUUAAGAUUAUCCAACAGACUCCCUAACUCUAGUUUUAUGCCCACUAAGCAUCCUUCCAGUUUUAAAUUGGCUCUUCAUGUCACGUGCAACAGGGAGAGUGCAUCCAAAAAAAGGAGGCCAGCUGACUAUUUCCCUUGGCCGCCAUCUUUUUUAUUAAUAAACAAACUUUACACACACACACACACACACACACACACACACACACACACGUGCGUGCAUGCGGUGCUUCUUGCCACUCCUGACCCCCAUCCACUGUGAAGGGGAUAGUGAGAGUUAUCAGUUCCAUCUCCUGAGUGUGAAUUAAGCCAAAUAGCAGGGAAGUCUCAAUGGUCCCUCUCAGUAAAUCAGAGCUCAACAGAAUCAGGUCAGAGCUGGAAGGAUGCCGAGAACCCAUUGCAAGUAAUGACUCCUGCCCCAAGGUUUGCAGAAGUAACACUGGGGUCUGUGAAUUCUUGGCAAAAACUCAAGAAAGCUAAGGGAAUCCACACAUUAGCCAGUAAUGAGGCCACACAGACUAACUAAAGCAACAGCCACCUCAUUAAACUGGGAAGCUUACUACUGUUUUUAUUGCACAGUCACUUCUAAAUAUCUUUUAUUAAUAAAAUUGGGGAAAUGAGUUUGUUAUUCCUUAAUAAAUGCAGUGUGUUUGGUUGAUGAAAUCUUUACAAGAUGGGGAUCAAUAAGUGCUGAGAAUACUAAAAGAUAUCCUUGUUCUACAGGGUUGAAAACCCCUGAGGUACCAUCCCAUACCUACCAUUUUACAAAAGAAGAUGUGAUACAUGUAAGUACCAAUUCCUUAAGUGAAUGCAAUUUUAUGUAUCACAAACAUAUACUAAUAAAAAAAGAAACUAAAAGGUAAAGAUAAGGAGGAGGAAGAGGAAACAACCAGGCAGCCAAAAAAAAAAAAAACAUUCUUUUUCACAAGCUUCACAUUUUACUUAAUCUCUUAAAUUAUUCUAUUCCCAAGGCUAUGGCAGCUUGAGUAUGAGGAAUAAUCUGUCUAGAGCCUGUUUGUUUGCCUUGUCUCCUAAUUUACUCAACUCUCCAUGAAUGAGAGUAUGAAAUUUUCAUCGGUUCACCUGCUAAUUUUGACAGGAGAAAGAAGAGGUUCAAUAUUUUGAAAAGAGAAGAGGGAUGGGGGAAAGCACGUCUAUUACAUCAAUAGUUUCUCCACAUUAUUCGAUCUUCACAAAAAUCCCAAUAAGAAGGUAUAAUUUUCCCUUUUACAGACAAGAAAUUUAACAUUUGGAGAGGUUAAGAGAUUAGCCAAAGGAACAUAAGCUUAGAAGUAAAUUCCAGUCUAAAGUUUAUGUCCUGGCUCAUUCCACUACUGCUCUGUAAUGGUAACUGGGUUCAGCACCAUGGACAGCAACAGAGCUUCUACAGUCUUCUGGGUGCUGGCGAUGGGGCUGGAGAGAGUGGAAAGGUAGUGCUGAUUUCCUGGGAAGAGAUGUUUCUACAGAAAUGCCUGACUGAAUAGGAAUAGGAUGAGGGCAAGGAAAGACACAUCAUGGUAAUUUCUUUACAUCUGUAUCAAACUGCUAUUUUAGAAUCAUUUUCUAUCCUCCUGCCAAUUGCAUAAGAUAGGACAAGUAUUGUAUAAUGACAUUCCCAGACUGCCACCCACAGUUUGUGUAAGGCACGAAUGACUCAAUAGAUGGGAAAGUUAUCUGUAAUUCAUAAAAGACACUUUCAAGGAAACCACUAUAACAAACCCCAAAUCUCAGUGCCUUAACAGAAUAGAAGCUUGUUUCUUCUUGUUUAUUAUGAAGCUUUCCUCCAAGAAUGACACUGGUACCUGGUGCCUUUCUUCUAGUAGCUCUGUCACCUUCUAAUAUGAUCUGGACACCAAUCCAGAAGAGGAAAAAUCACAGAUACCCGGGGAGAUAUUCAUCAGCUGAGUUUGGCAUGACACAAAUCACUUCAGCUCACAUUUUGUUGGUUAGAACCCAGCCCAUGGCCAUGCAUAGCUGUAAAGAGGGGAGCUAGGGGCAUUGUCUAGCUGUGAGUACAGGAAGAUGAAGAAUGAGUCUUGGUGAAGACAAAGCAGCUUCUCCCACCUGAAAAAAGCUGAGAAACUGUCACAAUCACAGUGAGUGUGAGUUCCGUUUGAGAGCUUGAGAGUGGGAACAAAUUAAGGCCCAACCAUGGAAAGCAUCUCAAUCCCUACACUUGUGCUGGAUGCAACAGGCCUGAGCUGUCCUUCCCUUGGCUGUCUUGGAUUUUCUAUCUGGGCUUCCUCCAUGACACAAAAUCUGGGGAAAGGAUCACAAGAGGGAGCUGUUAGUCAUUAGGUUCCCCUGGAGUCUGUCUACAUAUAAUGAUAUUGAUAGAUAGAUUGGAAUUUAGCUAUAGAUAGAUCUCCACAAUACUGAACAUUCUAAUUCACCUACCCAGGACAAAUUCCUCUGGGGGUGGGUUUUUGACAGAGGAAUUGGGAUUCUUUCAGUUGUAAGUGACAGAAAUCCACAUCACAUGGUCUUAAGUGAGAAAGGAAAUGUAUUGGUUUGGGGGAGUGCAGGGGAAGGUCUCCUUUCAGGCACAGCCCCAUGUAGACUUCAGCAGUUUUGUCAGGAUGUCUGGGCUCUCUGUCUCUAUGCUCUGAUAUACACAGAGGCUCCAUUUCCAGGCAGGCUCCCUUCAUGGAUCAAAGUGGCUGUUGGCAGCUGCAGGCACACCUUUUUCUUUCUUUUAAUCAGCAACACCAAGAGAAUGUUUCUUUCUUGGUAAAAACCCCAUGGUGAAUGCUUUAGGCACUAAUAUCCUGGCCUGGGUCAUUUGCUAUAUUGGUUCAGUUUCGGGUUCUCUAAUGGUGCAGAAGGCAAUCUUUUAGCUAGGCCUAUAAAAUCAGAGAUGGGAAAGUCCACAGUGGCUGUGUGCACAAUGGAGAGCUGAAGGGUACAAUAGCUGCUUAGUCCAGGAAGCUGAAAGCUGUGGAAAAGAGGCUCAAGGAUGUAGCAUCUGUCCAAGAUGAUGGAAGCUCCCUGCAAUGUCUGGUGUGAAUCUCUGCCAAAAGAUAGAAUCAACCGGAGUCUGAUGCCCACAGGCAACGGCAGUAGCAAAAGAUGCCCUCAUUCAAGAAGAAUGAAGUUUUUCAAACACAGGCUGACCUUUCCCUUUCAUUCUGUCCAGGGUACUUUAUUGGUUGGUGCCACCCACAAUUGGAAUGGGUCUUCCCCACUUCAGUUUGCAGGCAUACAUGCCAGUCAUCUCUGGAAACACCCCAGAGACAUUGCUAGAAGAAAGCUAAUCUGCUAGGCAUUUCUGGAAUCCAACAAAUUAGGCACAUCAUGAUUAAUGGUGACAGAACCCAAGAACUUUAGAAGGAUCAUGGGCACUAGAGUCAGCCUGCUUUGGGAUGAACCUCAGCUCUGCUACUCAGGCUAUGACCCUGGGCAUGGAGCUUACUUUCUCUUCCUGAUCCUCAGCCUGCAUGUGUACAGAGGGUUUGCUCUGAGGAUGAAAUGAGACUAGGCAGGGAAUGUGCUGUUUCUGACACCCAGAAGUGCCCACCUGCACCUGGGACAGAUAGUGGGUCUUCAUUUGGGGCCUGCAGAGCUUCCACUCACCCCACAACUAAUAUGGUGCCCAGAAGCUCAAGGAAAUGCUCCCACUUUGCUUCUUCCCCGUCCCCUAUAGCUCCCCAUACUACCUCCCUGUGGCUCUCCUGAUGCCCUGGAAACCAAAUGCUGCUGACCCUCUUCCCUGCUCUCUGGUGGCAGCAAGACCACAACAUUUCCACCCACAUGAGCAUCUUUCCUUCUCUCCCUUGGGACAUUGUGGCUUCCCACCACCACUUUCAGCCACCAAACCACAAGAAGAUAGUCACAACGUCCCCUCUGUUUGCUGACUUUCCUUAAGGUCACCCUUUGUGAUAUGUCACCAAGAGCGAACAAAUCUUCACUGUGUCCAUUCUAUCAAAACUUGUUUCUAUAUGCAUCUGUCAUCACUGAUUGCAUUUGAAUGGUCUUGGUCUCUAUUUUAAAUAAAAGAUUUAUGCCUUAGCUGUCAGAGCCUGCCUUUAUUUGAAAAUUUAAUCUUGUUUCUAGGAGUCUAGAUUAACUUAUUAGAUUUAGGUAUCCCUCGUGUGUCUCUGAGAGAGAGAAGGAGCAGAAUCUCCUCUCUGCAUGCAGCCCUUCUUGGUGGAAGCCAAGAGCCAGGCCUCACCACCCAGCACACCAAGGUUGGACAGAGGCACCAUCCUGGAAGCUGCAUUUGGUAACCAUGGAUCCAAGGAGCCUCUCUCUGGGUCUGCAGGACUGGGGGUCAGCUCCCAGACACUUAGCCCAGGGGCCUAUGUUCAUUGCAAGGUCCUCCAUCAAACACACAAACCUUUCUCCAGCAUUCCAUGGAGUUUUCAGAAAAGACCCCCAGUAGGAGACAAAUUUGCCAACAUGUCUGUGCCAAGGAGCUCUGAGCCCCCCUUACCUAUACUGCGUCUUCUAUGUCUCACAGAGCUCUUGUGCUGAUUAGACCACAGGGUGAGGAGACUUGGUUUCAGCUCCACUGUGUGACCUUGUCCAGGCCACUUAAUUUCUCUGACCUCAUCCGAAGUCUCCUCAUCUGGAGGAUAGAAGUGAUGUGAAUGCCCACCACAUAGGACUGGUGUGUUUCACUUAUUGAGAAAACAGGGGAUAUCUUUGUUUUCUGCUACUAUAACAGAAUAUCACAGAUUGGGUGGUUUAUAUAUAAUAGAAAUGUUUGGCUCAUAGCUCUAGAGGCUACAGAGUCCAAGGGCUUUGCACAAGCAGCUAGUCAGGACCUUUACAGUGAUAUCACAUGGCCCACAUCCAGCCUCCAAGCUGUGACACCUCCUGUCAGUAGGGCCCCUCCCACAACCUUCCCACAAGCCACUGCAGAGAAAGCAGCCUUC
Heterocephalus glaber (naked mole-rat) is the source of this 6895-nucleotide long non-coding RNA. The record is from Ensembl. NCBI's taxonomy places the organism in Eukaryota, Metazoa, Chordata, Mammalia, Rodentia, Bathyergidae.